RNAcentral lists this ribosomal RNA (923 nucleotides) under Staphylococcus aureus. RNAcentral's name for it is "partial 23S ribosomal RNA". It matches the Rfam family "Bacterial large subunit ribosomal RNA", at positions 1 to 921 of the family's 2925-position model. Lineage: Bacteria; Bacillati; Bacillota; Bacilli; Caryophanales; Staphylococcaceae. The record is from RNAcentral.
GAUUAAGUUAUUAAGGGCGCACGGUGGAUGCCUUGGCACUAGAAGCCGAUGAAGGACGUUACUAACGACGAUAUGCUUUGGGGAGCUGUAAGUAAGCUUUGAUCCAGAGAUUUCCGAAUGGGGAAACCCAGCAUGAGUUAUGUCAUGUUAUCGAUAUGUGAAUACAUAGCAUAUCAGAAGGCACACCCGGAGAACUGAAACAUCUUAGUACCCGGAGGAAGAGAAAGAAAAUUCGAUUCCCUUAGUAGCGGCGAGCGAAACGGGAAGAGCCCAAACCAACAAGCUUGCUUGUUGGGGUUGUAGGACACUCUAUACGGAGUUACAAAGGACGACAUUAGACGAAUCAUCUGGAAAGAUGAAUCAAAGAAGGUAAUAAUCCUGUAGUCGAAAAUGUUGUCUCUCUUGAGUGGAUCCUGAGUACGACGGAGCACGUGAAAUUCCGUCGGAAUCUGGGAGGACCAUCUCCUAAGGCUAAAUACUCUCUAGUGACCGAUAGUGAACCAGUACCGUGAGGGAAAGGUGAAAAGCACCCCGGAAGGGGAGUGAAAUAGAACCUGAAACCGUGUGCUUACAAGUAGUCAGAGCCCGUUAAUGGGUGAUGGCGUGCCUUUUGUAGAAUGAACCGGCGAGUUACGAUUUGAUGCAAGGUUAAGCAGUAAAUGUGGAGCCGUAGCGAAAGCGAGUCUGAAUAGGGCGUUUAGUAUUUGGUCGUAGACCCGAAACCAGGUGAUCUACCCUUGGUCAGGUUGAAGUUCAGGUAACACUGAAUGGAGGACCGAACCGACUUACGUUGAAAAGUGAGCGGAUGAACUGAGGGUAGCGGAGAAAUUCCAAUCGAACCUGGAGAUAGCUGGUUCUCUCCGAAAUAGCUUUAGGGCUAGCCUCAAGUGAUGAUUAUUGGAGGUAGAGCACUGUUUGGACGA